This 87-nucleotide transfer RNA is filed under the name Mariprofundus ferrooxydans. RNAcentral's name for it is "tRNA-Leu". It matches the Rfam family "tRNA". Rfam says of the family: Transfer RNA (tRNA) molecules are approximately 80 nucleotides in length. Their secondary structure includes four short double-helical elements and three loops (D, anti-codon, and T loops). Lineage: Bacteria; Pseudomonadati; Pseudomonadota; Candidatius Mariprofundia; Mariprofundales; Mariprofundaceae. RNAcentral also lists the same sequence under 1 other name. The record is from RNAcentral.
GCCGAGGUGGCGGAAUUGGUAGACGCGCUAGCUUCAGGUGCUAGUUUCCUUUUGGAAGUGCUGGUUCGAUUCCAGUCCUCGGUACCA